Molecule: transfer RNA, 77 nt
Filed under: Bacillota bacterium
Lineage: Bacteria; Bacillati; Bacillota
Description: tRNA-Met
Rfam family: tRNA
About the family: Transfer RNA (tRNA) molecules are approximately 80 nucleotides in length. Their secondary structure includes four short double-helical elements and three loops (D, anti-codon, and T loops).
Source: RNAcentral
GGCGGUGUAGCUCAGUUGGUAUGAGCAUGCGGUUCAUACCCGCAGUGUCGCUGGUUCGAUCCCAGCCACCGCCACCA